CCCCUUGACUUUGGAAUUGUAGUUCCAAGUUAGAUUUCCUUCUUGUUUGUUGAAUGUUGACAAAGAUAAAUAAUUUCCAUUUCUUUGGGCGCAUAAGAAGACCAGCGCUGAGAAUACCCCAUAUUGAAUACUUUGCAUAGAUAAGCAAUAUAAAUGCUUUGUGUUGGAUGAAUCAGAAAACCGUUGCAAGAAUACCCGAAUAACAUAAGAUGGCCCAUGUCGAAGUUGAGAGAUAUGAUACUCUGAUCAUGUGAGAAAGCCCGUCAUAAUAUUUGUCGAGUCUGAACAAUAUACCCCCUGUUGUUGAGCGCGUAAGAAAUCCAGCGCGUGAGAAGACCAAUAGAUAACAGUGGCACGCCCAAGAGGCGGCUUAUUUCUCGCUGAGCAGCGAUUAGA
This 396-nucleotide long non-coding RNA is filed under the name Salvia miltiorrhiza (redroot sage). RNAcentral's name for it is "long non-coding RNA (SMIL_LNC012805)". Lineage: Eukaryota; Viridiplantae; Streptophyta; Magnoliopsida; Lamiales; Lamiaceae. The record is from RNAcentral.